GAAACGACUGCUAAGACUGGAUAGGAAACAAAAAGGCAUCUUUUUGUUUUUAAAAGACCUUCUUACGAAGGUAUGCUUAAAGAGGGGCUUGCGCCACAUUAGUUAGUUGGUAGGGUAAAAGCCUACCAAGACGAUGAUGUGUAGCUGGACUGAGAGGUUGAACAGCCACAUUGGGACUGAGACACGGCCCAAACUCCUACGGGAGGCAGCAGUAGGGAAUUUUCGGCAAUGGAGGAAACUCUGACCGAGCAACGCCGCGUGAACGAUGAAGUAUUUCGGUAUGUAAAGUUCUUUUAUUGAAGAAGAAAAAGUAGUGGAAAAACUAUAUUGACGUUAUUCAAUGAAUAAGCCCCGGCUAACUAUGUGCCAGCAGCCGCGGUAAGACAUAGGGGGCGAGCGUUAUCCGGAAUUAUUGGGCGUAAAGGGUGCGUAGGCUGUUAGAUAAGUCUAUAAUUUAAUUUCAGUGCUUAACGCUGUCUUGUUAUAGAAACUGUCUUGACUAGAGUGAGAUAGAGGCAAGCGGAAUUCCAUGUGUAGCGGUAAAAUGUGUAAAUAUAUGGAGGAACACCAGAAGCGUAGGCGGCUUGCUGGGUCUUUACUGACGCUGAGGCACGAAAGCGUGGGUAGCAAACAGGAUUAGAUACCCUGGUAGUCCACGCCGUAAACGAUGAGUACUAAGUGUCGGGGUAAAACUCGGUACUGAAGUUAACACAUUAAGUACUCCGCCUGAGUAGUACGUACGCAAGUAUGAAACUUAAAGGAAUUGACGGGACUCCGCACAAGCGGUGGAUCAUGUUGUUUAAUUCGAAGAUACACGAAAAAUCUUACCAGGUCUUGACAUACUCUGCAAAGCUAUAGAAAUAUAGUGGAGGUUAUCAGGGAUACAGGUGGUGCAUGGUUGUCGUCAGUUCGUGUCGUGAGAUGUUAGGUUAAGUCCUAAAACGAGCGCAACCCUUGUCGUUAAUUGCCAGCACGUAAUGGUGGGGACUUUAGCGAGACUGCCAAUUAAACAUUGGAGGAAGGUGAGGAUUACGUCAAAUCAUCAUGCCCCUUAUGAUCUGGGCUACAAACGUGAUACAAUGGCUGUGACAAAGAGUAGCUGAAACGCGAGUUUUUAGCCAAUCUCAAAAAAGCAGUCUCAGUUCGGAUUGAAGUCUGUAACUCGACUUCAUGAAGUUGGAAUCGCUAGUAAUCGCGAAUCAGCAUGUCGCGGUGAAUACGUUCACGGGGUUUGUACACACCGCCCGUCA
This 1250-nucleotide ribosomal RNA is filed under the name Candidatus Phytoplasma trifolii. Its description in RNAcentral is "bacterial SSU rRNA". It matches the Rfam family "Bacterial small subunit ribosomal RNA", at positions 153 to 1399 of the family's 1533-position model. Lineage: Bacteria; Bacillati; Mycoplasmatota; Mollicutes; Acholeplasmatales; Acholeplasmataceae. The record is from RNAcentral.